RNAcentral lists this long non-coding RNA (366 nucleotides) under Equus caballus (horse). RNAcentral describes it as "lncRNA (ENSECAG00000056878.1)". The record is from RNAcentral. Lineage: Eukaryota; Metazoa; Chordata; Mammalia; Perissodactyla; Equidae.
UUAGAAAAUAAACUUGCUCUUUAAUGGGGGAUGGGAGAGCAGGCUGUCCCGGCGAGAAUGGGGUUAGGUGUCAGAAGCGCAUCCCCCUGCGGGCCAAGUCAGCUCGGGCCUCCUGGAUCUGGCUCUGCAGCUCGCGGGCGGCGUCCUCACAGUCGUGAAAAGUGGCCACACGAUAGCCCACAGUGCCCAGGGCUCCCAUGGUCAAGGCUGCCCAGGCGGAGCCCAGGAGCGCCAGUGCCCAAAGCCACUGUGCUAAUUUCGUCAUGGUCACUGCGGGAAGAGAAAGCAGAGCUCGAGGUUCCUUCCACCCAGCUACCCCCGCUUCAUUGGAGACCCAUUCCCUGUCCUCCUCCCUCCCCACCCCCC